Zalophus californianus (California sea lion) is the source of this 661-nucleotide long non-coding RNA. RefSeq lists it as uncharacterized. Lineage: Eukaryota; Metazoa; Chordata; Mammalia; Carnivora; Otariidae. The record is from RefSeq and is a predicted model, not a curated record. The transcript is spliced from 4 exons.
GUUGGUGAGGGAGGUUUGGUGUGGCCGGAGAGCAGAGUGGCAGGGGGCCCUGAGACAGGGCUGAGAGCAGUGAGGGGCCAGGUCACGAGGGCCACGUAUGCUACAGGGAGGAAUUCUGACCUGACCCUAAAUACAGCAGGAAGCCAUCACCGUGCUCAAAUGCCUUGAAUCCUUGUCGAGGACGUGACCCAGACUGCCUUACCAUUUCGGGACUGGCUUUUUCCUCCUCAAACAUCUGACCUUAAUUCCGACUCCUGCGGAUUUAAGACGGCGCCAUCACGUUACUGAGCUCGUCACCUCUCCCCCCGGCAAGUGUACAGAGUGUUUUCUUAUAGAAGUCUCAGCAAGAUGUCUGUAGCAUGGAUAUAAUCCUUCCCACUUCACAUGUGAGAAAGAAAGCUGAGUACAGAAAACUUCUCAAGGAAGACUCUGCCUACCUGGAAUCAGCGGCUGACAAAGGAGAUGAUAGACAGUGACUGGUCAUGAUUGUUCCUCUGGGCUGGGGAUGGAAUAGACUUCUCUGAGCUCUUGGUAAGAGGGUGGUAAACACAGUAAAAAAUAUUGGGGCUCAGACAGGAAGAAAGAAGAAGCAAUUGCCUUGGGACUGGCAGCUGAGUAUCUGCCUUACUUCCUCUGUAUUUUUCCAAGAAUUGAAUAAAAA